Mangifera indica (mango) is the source of this 916-nucleotide long non-coding RNA. RefSeq lists it as uncharacterized. The record is from RefSeq and is a predicted model, not a curated record. Lineage: Eukaryota; Viridiplantae; Streptophyta; Magnoliopsida; Sapindales; Anacardiaceae. The transcript is spliced from 3 exons.
GUAGAUGUCCAGUUGAGGAAUGAAGAUUUGGGGAUUGAUACUUAUAGAUCCGGUGGUUCAGGUGGUUAGCAUGUAAAUACCACCAGUACUGCUGUCCCAAUAACUCAUAUUCCAAGGGAGAUGACUGUGUCCAUCCAAGAUAAAUGAUCUCAACAUAUGAACAAAGCUAAAACACUUGAGGUUCUGUGUGCAAAUCUGUAUGAAAUGGAGAAGUUAAGAAUUCAGAUGAGUAGAUCAAAACUUCGAUCAGAGCAGGUAAGAGUGACUGUGACAUGAAGAUGAGCAAGUUUACUAUUGUUUUUUGUUUGUUAUCUUCCAGAAUGAUGAAAGGAUCUUAUCACUGUAAACAGAUCGAUAGUGGUGAUCAAUUGGAGCGUAUCUGAACUUACAGCUAGGGCCUUCCAAACAUGGAUUUGAACGCUAGUGCAAGUACCUUGGAUCUCUUGCACAACGGUCAACAAGUAUCAAUACUGUUUUGCAUGUGCACAGUUUUUUGUGCAAGAAAAUCCCCAGAUUUUGCAAAGUGCCUACAAUUUUUUGUACAUUAGAAUCUACCUUCUAUUGAUAAUUGGUGGGAUAUGUUUCAUGAUUGUUAAUUUGGCUAUGGUUGUUCGUGAAGUAUCUGUAUCCGACUUUCACUCCAACAGUAGUCUUGUUUGUUGCUGGAAUGGUUGCGUAUGGAGUACUUAAGUACCCGCAAAAUGAGAAACUCAAGGACCAAAAUUGAAUCAUGGAUGAAGGCUGAUGGUUUCAGUCGUAAAAUAAGGGAGGACUUGUACGACAUCCACUGAUAAUUGUACUUUGGUGAAAUUUUUUGCAGUGGCUUCUUCAAUUUCACUAGGACCAAGUCUUUGAAUGCGGUGAAAUUCUAUGGAUGUACGGAUGAUUUCGGUAGUCUAUCAUCACUAUUUUCACA